GGGCUUGCCUCCUCCUGCGUCCUGCUAGCUAUUUUUAAAUGUGAGCUCUAUUUUGUUCCAAGAUCAUUAGGAUAUUUAGCCCCUUCACCAAUUUCCACAAGAAAAUUAAUUCAUUCCAAUAUUCAGAGGUUCCUUUUUUAUUUCUUAGCCAGUGAUUAAGGAAUCCAUUAUGUAACCCAGAGCCAUUCUCUCUACUCUUUUCUUAAUUUUUCCUUCUAAAAUGGGGAGUUCCAUUUUCUUAAUUUUUCAUUCUAAAUUGGGGAGUUCCAAAUUUUUUUUCUCUCUCUCUCUUAGGCAAAGCAGUUCAUGUCCUUCCUGGAAGUUUUAGUAUCUGCCAGUACUGAUGCCCAGUUUGCAUUUUAAAAGCUCCUUCUAGCUGCUAGAUGCUGAAAAGACUGAAAGGAGGCAAGGGGAUAGGCAAAGGGACCAGUAUCAGGUUAUUUUAGGAGAUGAUGGUGGCUUGAACCAGGUAGUGGCAAAGCUCGUAAAGACAAGUGCAUGAAUAGGAAUAUUUUGGAGGAGAUGCUGCAGUACUUGCUUAUAGAUUGGAUUGUAGGUGACCAGUUUGAAAUUCAGCUAAACCAGCAGCUAUGGUCCCUCAUCCCCAACAACGAUGUGAGAAGGCUUGUUUCUCAUGUUAUCCGGACCUUGAAGACGGACUGCACUGAGACCCAUUUGCAACUGGCCUGUGCCAAGCUCAUCUCUAGGACAGGCCUCCUAAUGAAGCUUCUCAGUGAGCAGCAAGAAUUGAGAACUGUAUCAAUGACAGCAUGGAAGCCCAGAAUGAACAGAAAGAGCAGAAGUCGAAUGAGGUCCUGAUAUGGAAGAAACUACUGAUGUCAGCUGAAGGACCACACUGAUGCAGCUGUCCUGAAGGACUCCCCGAGGAGCUACCUCAUCAAAAAAUACAGUUUCCACUUUGCGAUGAUUUUAUCCCCCUUGCCCCAACCGACCAGCAACCCCAAUUUUCCAGCCCCUCACUCUCCACAAUCCUCUUAAAGCCCCAGGCCAGAACUUCUUGGGAGACAGAUUUGAGGGUUUCCUUCCACUUCCUUGCUGGGUGGCCUGUGAUCAUUAAACUCUUUCUUUGCUGCA
This is a long non-coding RNA of Homo sapiens (human), 1095 nucleotides long. Ensembl annotates it as leucine rich repeat containing 37 member A5, pseudogene. Its record names the gene LRRC37A5P. Lineage: Eukaryota; Metazoa; Chordata; Mammalia; Primates; Hominidae. The record is from Ensembl.